This is a small nuclear RNA of Sarcophilus harrisii (Tasmanian devil), 128 nucleotides long. The record is from Ensembl. Lineage: Eukaryota; Metazoa; Chordata; Mammalia; Dasyuromorphia; Dasyuridae.
GUGUUGUAUGAAAGGAGAGACGAUUAGCACUCCCCUUGAUAAGGAUGGAAGAGAUCCUAGCAGCCUUUACAACACAUAUACAGUUAAGACAUUGCCACCUACUCUGUGGCAUCUAACCAUGUUUUAUU